RNAcentral lists this small RNA (288 nucleotides) under Nomascus leucogenys (northern white-cheeked gibbon). Its description in RNAcentral is "Metazoan signal recognition particle RNA (ENSNLEG00000029082.1)". The record is from RNAcentral. Lineage: Eukaryota; Metazoa; Chordata; Mammalia; Primates; Hylobatidae.
GCUGGGCAUGGUGGCUCACACCUGUAAUCCCAGCAUUUUGGGAGGCUGAGGUGGGUGAAUCACUUGAGAUCAGGAGUUUGAGAGCAGCCUGGCCAACAUGGUGAAAUCACAUCUCUACUAAAAAUACACACACAAAAAUUAGCUGGGCUUGGUGGCAGGUGCAUGCAAUCCCAGCUACUCUGGAGGCUGAGUCAGGAGAAUCGCUUGAACCCAGGAAAUGGAGGUUGUAGUGAGCCAAGAUGGUGCCACUGCACUCCAGCCUGGGCAACAGAGUGAGAGUCCAUCUCA